Molecule: long non-coding RNA, 899 nt
Filed under: Brassica napus (rape)
Lineage: Eukaryota; Viridiplantae; Streptophyta; Magnoliopsida; Brassicales; Brassicaceae
Description: long non-coding RNA (BNAP_LNC007983)
Source: RNAcentral
CUCGGUCGAAGCUUGUGUUGGCAAUGAUGAUGGCUUUGGACGUUCAUAGGCUUCAAAUCUAAGAGCAUGAGAUGGAACCUCAUGAUGAUCUUGGGAAUGGUAAUCAGUUGUUUCCAGCAUACAAGAGCGCUCUCUCUCAGAUAUAUAAGGUUGCGCUCCACUCUCAAUAGCUUGUUGGAUGUAGCCAUUGAGAAAUGAAAGAUCUUUAUCAACCUAAAUUCAGGAAAAAAAAAAGAAUGACUGUGAGAUUCAGGAAAUUCACGUUACAAGGGAAUGCAUAGGGAUUGGAUUUUCCUUGGGGGGUUUGCUAGCUGUUCCUUUUGCUGGCUUGUGUCCACCAGAAGAUGACUUCCUAUCAGAUCUUGACGAUGAUGAUCCACCAAACAAGGAUGCAGCGAGUCUCUGUUUCUCAGGAUCAAUUUCGGGUUUCUUUGAUUCAUAACUGCUUCGAGGUUUUAAGCUAGAUGAGCCAACUCCAACAUCCGGGUGACUACUGGUACCAUUUGCUGCUUGCGGAGGAGUAGAAGAAGCGGAUGUGGACGACUGAUAGCUGGGUCUACCCCAUUUUUGUUUAACUCCAUCGAGUCGCAGCUUGAUUUCUGAUGACUCUCGUUCAGACACGGAAGAAGUUGAAAUUGGCUGGUGUGCCUCGCUGUAAUAAGAAGGCUCGGGUACUGGAACAAGCUCGGUCGAAGCUUGUGUUGGCAAUGAUGAUGGCUUUGGACGUUCAUAGGCUUCAAAUCUAAGAGCAUGAGAUGGAACCUCAUGAUGAUCUUGGGAAUGGUAAUCAGUUGUUUCCAGCAUACAAGAGCGCUCUCUCUCAGAUAUAUAAGGUUGCGCUCCACUCUCAAUAGCUUGUUGGAUGUAGCCAUUGAGAAAUGAAAGAUCUUUAUCAACCU